This 419-nucleotide ribosomal RNA is filed under the name uncultured Endozoicomonas sp. Its description in RNAcentral is "bacterial SSU rRNA". It matches the Rfam family "Bacterial small subunit ribosomal RNA", at positions 9 to 425 of the family's 1533-position model. Lineage: Bacteria; Pseudomonadati; Pseudomonadota; Gammaproteobacteria; Oceanospirillales; Endozoicomonadaceae. The record is from RNAcentral.
GAGUUUGAUCAUGGCUCAGAUUGAACGCUGGCGGCAGGCCUAACACAUGCAAGUCGAGCGGUAACAGGACUAGCUUGCUAGUUGCUGACGAGCGGCGGACGGGUGCGUAACACGUAGGAAUCUGCCCGGUAGUGGGGGAUAGCCCGGAGAAAUCCGGAUUAAUACCGCAUACGCCCUAAGGGGGGAAAGAUGGCCUCUUCUCGAAAGCUAUCACUAUCGGAUGAGCCUGCGUCGGAUUAGCUAGUUGGUGAGGUAAAGGCUCACCAAGGCGACGAUCCGUAGCUGGUCUGAGAGGAUGAUCAGCCACACUGGGACUGAGACACGGCCCAGACUCCUACGGGAGGCAGCAGUGGGGAAUAUUGCACAAUGGCGCAAGCCUGAUGCAGCCAUGCCGCGUGUGUGAGAAGGCUCUAGGGUUG